This 433-nucleotide ribosomal RNA is filed under the name uncultured bacterium. RNAcentral describes it as "partial 16S ribosomal RNA". It matches the Rfam family "Bacterial small subunit ribosomal RNA", at positions 29 to 507 of the family's 1533-position model. The record is from RNAcentral.
AACGAACGCUGGCGGCAUGCCUAACACAUGCAAGUCGAACGAGACCUUCGGGCCUAGUGGCGCACGGGUGCGUAACGCGUGGGAACCUGCCCUUGGGUUCGGAAUAACUCCCCGAAAGGGGUGCUAAUACCGGAUAAUGUCUUCGGACCAACGAUUUAUCGCCUUUGGAUGGGCCCGCGUUGGAUUAGCUAGUUGGUAGGGUAAAAGCCUACCAAGGCGACGAUCCAUAGCUGGUCUGAGAGGAUGAUCAGCCACACUGGGACUGAGACACGGCCCAGACUCCUACGGGAGGCAGCAGUGGGGAAUAUUGGACAAUGGGCGAAAGCCUGAUCCAGCAAUGCCGCGUGAGUGAUGAAGGCCUUAGGGUUGUAAAGCUCUUUUACCCGGGAUGAUAAUGACAGUACCGGGAGAAUAAGCUCCGGCUAACUCCGUG